UACGCCCUGUUUAUCAGGUAUGGAGUUGAGUUUGCUAUUGACAAUGGACAUGACAAUGCUACGUUUGUUGUGAACAACGAAAUUACGUAACUCACCAUAAAAGAUGCAGCCACACUCGCUCUAGAGAAGAUAAUGACGAUGAAGGAUACACAUAUCUAAAUUGUCUUGGGGAUCUUGCUGGCAAGCAGUAUCUUUUCCAGAUUUGGGUCAUCACUUUCAGGAUGGAUUUGGAGUCUCGAGACAAUAGGAGUCCUUGAUGCUCAAAGGGAUUCUAUGGACAUAAAUGUACUCUUUCUAUGGGAUUUCACUUUCUGAGUUUCAUAUGU
Long non-coding RNA from Brassica oleracea var. oleracea, 326 nucleotides. RefSeq lists it as uncharacterized. The record is from RefSeq and is a predicted model, not a curated record. Lineage: Eukaryota; Viridiplantae; Streptophyta; Magnoliopsida; Brassicales; Brassicaceae. The transcript is spliced from 3 exons.